AAGUACUCAGAUACCUAAUUAAAAGUAGUAGGACAACUAUUUUAAAAAUACUCUGUUACAUGUAAAAGUACUAUAUUAUGGAUGUUAAACUUCCUAGUGUUAGCAACAACAUGUUAUCACUGAAGUACCCUGAAGUACUCAGAUACAUAAAUAAAAGUAGUAGUGCCCUGAAGUACCCAUAUACUGAACUAAAAGUAGCAGUACAACUAUUUAGAAAUACCUUGUUAGAUGCAAAAGUACUACAUUAUGGACUUUAUACUUGUUAGUAUGAGCAUGAAGUCUUAUAUUAAAGAUUUUACAACAGCAAAAGCAACAACGUGCUUCUGUAGUCACUGUGCAAAGGUAUGUUAUCAUACAUUUAGCAGUUGAUUAAUCGUAUUGCUAAGUAAGAGUAGAAAUUAUGUGAACUACAUUAAGAUUUUUUUUGAAAUAUUAUGUAACCCGGGCGAUAAAACCCUAGUUAGAAAUAUAAAUAAAUAAGUAUAUCCUCCAUUCCCGUCUCCAAAACUGUCCUGUCAAAUGCGUAAUGACGUCAUAUGUCACGCUGUGCGUCCCGUCACGUGACGGUGCGCGGCCAAUCGGGUUGUUUUAUAUCCGGAAGUCACUCGCGGGCCGCGAGCUUCGAGAGGGGGACACGUUGGGAAGAUUUGCUGCAAGGAGCCAACUACCGGAGCCGCCAGGCGUCGUGUGGAGUCGCGGGUGUUGAUUAAAGAAGGAAUUGGCCAGGUGAUGGCGAGCUAGACCCAAAGAAUUCUAGGCCCACACCGCCUGAAGAACCCUGGAGCUCGAACUGAAGUGAACUGAACUGGACCUCCUGCACCUUCUCCACCUGGUUGGGCUAGUGGGAGGCUCCUUUAAGGCAGCCGCCCCUCUCUUUUACUUUUUGCCUCUCGCAACAACUCAUUCUUGGCCCAAACCCAUUCACCACUCGCUCAACACUCCCUUUCCCUGGACACUGCCCUUUCCCUCUGGACGAUUUGGGCCACUGAACUGUUGCGUGUGUUCUAUCUCGGGUGAACUUCAGAACUCUUUCGCGCGUCCAAUGGAUCGUUUCUCGCGUGUUAAUGGAUCCAUCGAAUAAUGUUUUUUUUGUGAAAUAAUUGUGACUUAAUUCUGCACUUCUCAUGAAUGGCCAUUCACUUUAAAUGUUAAAUUUUGUUUGUCUAUGUCAAAAUAUAAUAUAAUUGGUACCACCUAAAACUUA
Molecule: long non-coding RNA, 1204 nt
Organism: Amphiprion ocellaris (clown anemonefish)
Lineage: Eukaryota; Metazoa; Chordata; Actinopteri; Pomacentridae
Exons: 3
Source: RefSeq, a predicted model, not a curated record